This 1667-nucleotide ribosomal RNA is filed under the name Salmonella enterica subsp. enterica serovar Typhimurium. RNAcentral describes it as "partial 23S ribosomal RNA". It matches the Rfam family "Bacterial large subunit ribosomal RNA", at positions 1 to 1657 of the family's 2925-position model. The record is from RNAcentral. Lineage: Bacteria; Pseudomonadati; Pseudomonadota; Gammaproteobacteria; Enterobacterales; Enterobacteriaceae.
UUUGGUUAAGUUAGAAAGGGCGCACGGUGGAUGCCUUGACACUAGGAGUCGAUGAAGGACGGGACUAACGCCGAUAUGCUUCGGGGAGCUGUAAGUAAGCUUUGAUCCGAAGAUUUCCGAAUGGGGAAACCCACCAUACGUAAUGGUAUGGUAUCCUUAUCUGAAUACAUAGGGUAAGGAAGACAGACCCAGGGAACUGAAACAUCUAAGUACCUGGAGGAAGAGAAAGCAAAUGCGAUUUCCUGAGUAGCGGCGAGCGAAACGGAACAUAGCCCAAACCAAGAGGCUUGCCUCUUGGGGUUGUAGGACAUUCUAUACGGAGUUACAAAGGAACGAGGUAGACGAAGCGACCUGGAAAGGUCCGUCGUAGAGGGUAACAACCCCGUAGUCGAAACUUCGUUCUCUCUUGAAUGUAUCCUGAGUACGGCGGAACACGUGAAAUUCCGUCGGAAUCUGGGAGGACCAUCUCCCAAGGCUAAAUACUCCCUAGUGAUCGAUAGUGAACCAGUACCGUGAGGGAAAGGUGAAAAGCACCCCGGAAGGGGAGUGAAAGAGAUCCUGAAACCGUGUGCCUACAAAUAGUCAGAGCCCGUUAACGGGUGAUGGCGUGCCUUUUGUAGAAUGAACCGGCGAGUUACGAUCCCGUGCGAGGUUAAGCUGAAGAGGCGGAGCCGCAGCGAAAGCGAGUCUGAAUAGGGCGUUUAGUACGUGGUCGUAGACCCGAAACCAGGUGAUCUACCCAUGUCCAGGGUGAAGUUCAGGUAACACUGAAUGGAGGCCCGAACCCACGCACGUUGAAAAGUGCGGGGAUGAGGUGUGGGUAGCGGAGAAAUUCCAAUCGAACCUGGAGAUAGCUGGUUCUCCCCGAAAUAGCUUUAGGGCUAGCCUUAAGUGUAAGAGUCUUGGAGGUAGAGCACUGAUUGGACUAGGGGUCCUCAUCGGAUUACCGAAUUCAGUCAAACUCCGAAUGCCAAUGACUUAUCCUUAGGAGUCAGACUGCGAGUGAUAAGAUCCGUAGUCAAAAGGGAAACAGCCCAGACCGCCAGCUAAGGUCCCAAAGUGUGUAUUAAGUGGAAAAGGAUGUGGAGUUGCUUAGACAACUAGGAUGUUGGCUUAGAAGCAGCCACCAUUUAAAGAGUGCGUAAUAGCUCACUAGUCGAGUGACUCUGCGCCGAAAAUGUACCGGGGCUAAAUACACCACCGAAGCUGCGGAUUGAUACCAAUGGUAUCAGUGGUAGGGGAGCGUUCUAAGGACAGUGAAGUCAGACCGGAAGGACUGGUGGAGUGCUUAGAAGUGAGAAUGCCGGUAUGAGUAGCGAAAGACGGGUGAGAAUCCCGUCCACCGAAUGCCUAAGGUUUCCUGAGGAAGGCUCGUCCGCUCAGGGUUAGUCAGGACCUAAGCCGAGGCCGACAGGCGUAGGCGAUGGACAACAGGUUGAUAUUCCUGUACCACCUCUUUAUCGUUUGAGCAAUGGAGGGACGCAGAAGGAUAGAAGAAGCGUGCGAUUGGUUGUGCACGUCCAAGCAGUUAGGCUGAUAAGUAGGCAAAUCCGCUUAUCGUAAAGGCUGAGCUGUGAUGGGGAAGCUCCUUAUGGAGCGAAGUCUUUGAUUCCCCGCUGCCAAGAAAAGCUUCUAGCGAGAUAAAAGGUGCCUGUACCGCAAACCGA